ACGGCUCAGUAACACGUGGCUAACCUACCCUUAGGACGGAGACACCCCCGGGAAACUGGGGCUAAUACCCGAUAGGUGAGGAGGCCUAGAAUGGUUCUUCGCUGAAAAGGCGUUGAAACCAUGCUUUUCAACGUCGCCUAAGGAUGGGGCCGCGCCCGAUCAGGUUGUUGGUGAGGUAACGGCUCACCAAGCCUAUAACCGGUACGGGCCGUGAGAGCGGGAGCCCGGAGAUGGGCACUGAGACAAGGGCCCAGGCCCUACGGGGCGCAGCAGUCGCGAAAACUCCGCAAUGCGCGAAAGCGUGACGGGGCUACCCCGAGUGCCGUCCGCUGAGGAUGGCUUUUCCCCGGUGUAAUGAGCCGGGGGAAUAAGGAGAGGGCAAGACUGGUGUCAGCCGCCGCGGUAAUACCAGCUCUCCGAGUAGUAGGGACGAUUAUUGGGCUUAAAGCGUCCGUAGCCGGCUUAGCAAGUCUCCUGUUAAAUUCAGCGACCUAAUCGUUGAGCCGCGGGAGAUACUACUAGGCUAGGAGGCGGGAGAGGCCGACGGUAUUCCCGGGGUAGGGGUGAAAUCCUAUAAUCCCGGGAGGACCACCAGUGGCGAAGGCUGUCGGCUAGAACGCGCUCGACGGUGAGGGACGAAAGCUGGGGGAGCGAACCGGAUUAGAUACCCGGGUAGUCCCAGCUGUAAACGAUGCGGGCUAGGUGUUGAGGUGGCUACGAGCCACUUCAGUGCCGCAGGGAAGCCAUUAAGCCCGCCGCCUGGGGAGUACGGCCGCAAGGCUGAAACUUAAAGGAAUUGGCGGGGGAG
This 808-nucleotide ribosomal RNA is filed under the name uncultured archaeon. RNAcentral describes it as "bacterial SSU rRNA". It matches the Rfam family "Archaeal small subunit ribosomal RNA", at positions 85 to 876 of the family's 1478-position model. The record is from RNAcentral.